This 499-nucleotide ribosomal RNA is filed under the name uncultured bacterium. RNAcentral describes it as "bacterial SSU rRNA". It matches the Rfam family "Bacterial small subunit ribosomal RNA", at positions 30 to 517 of the family's 1533-position model. The record is from RNAcentral.
AUUGAACGCUGGCGGCAUGCUUUACACAUGCAAGUCGAACGGCAGCACGGGUGCUUGCACCUGGUGGCGAGUGGCGAACGGGUGAGUAAUGCAUCGGAACGUGCCUAUUAGUGGGGGAUAACGCUUCGAAAGGAGUGCUAAUACCGCAUAAUCUCUGAGGAGGAAAGCGGGGGACCUUCGGGCCUCGCGUUGUCAGAUGAGCCCACGUCCGAUUAGCUAGUUGGUGGGGUAAUGGCCUACCAAGGCGACGAUCGGUAGCUGGUCUGAGAGGACGACCAGCCACACUGGGACUGAGACACGGCCCAGACUCCUGCGGGAGGGCAGCAGUGGGGAAUUUUUGGACAAUGGGCGAAAGCCUGAUCCAGCGAUGCCGCGUGGGUGAAGAAGGCCUGCGGGUUGUAAAGCCCUUUCGAUGGGAAAGAAAAGACCUGGAGCUAAUACCUCCGGGUCUUGACGUUACCCAGAGAAGAAGCACCGGCUAACUCCGUGCCAGCAGCCG